RNAcentral lists this ribosomal RNA (403 nucleotides) under uncultured bacterium. RNAcentral's name for it is "partial 16S ribosomal RNA". It matches the Rfam family "Bacterial small subunit ribosomal RNA", at positions 29 to 526 of the family's 1533-position model. The record is from RNAcentral.
AACGAACGCUGGCGGCGUGCCUAAUACAUGCAAGUCGAACGCAGUGGGGAUGGGUGAGUAACACGUGGGUAACCUCCCAUCAGAGGGGAGAACACUUGGAAACAGGUGCUAAACCGAUAAUGAAGUAUGGACCCGCGGUGCAUUAGCUAGUAGGCGUGGGAACGGCGCACCAAGUCCACGCGGCAUAGCGGACCUGAGAGGAUGACCGGCCACACUGGAACUGAGACACGGCCCAGACUCCUACGGGAGGCAGCAGUAGGGAAUCUUCGGCAAUGGGCGAAAGUCUGACGGAGCAACGCCGCGUGAGUGAAGAAGGUUUUCGGGUCGUAAAGCUCUGUUGUUGGAGAGGCGGUAUCUAACCAGAAAGCCACGGCUAACUACGUGCCAGCAGCCGCGGUAAUAC